AGGCUACUACUGACCUCCAGACAUUAUCAGAAGGAUCAGGUCAUCUGCUCCAAGUGAUCCUGGACCACCGAGCCAUGAUGGUGUUGAUGGCUGGAUGUCAGUAGUGGACUUUGUUGAUGACUAACAGGUACCUACAAAGUCCCCUGAACAAAGCAGCAGAAAUCGACUAAGAUGGGGCCUGGCGUGUGCUCCCGCUGCUCUGGAAGUCCAAACUGGAUGGAAGAAUAGCGCUGGUUCCCUGGAAGGCUGCUAAGCCCCCUGCACCCCCUCCUCCAGCACAGGCUCGGCUGCCUCUGGCUAUCCCACCGCCAAUCUCCUCACCUCCAAUCUGUCCCCUCCACCUGUUCUCACACCCCAGCCAGAGGGACCUUUCUGAAAUACCUAUGUGACCUCUCCGGCCCUCCUCUGCUCUCCAUCCCCCUCAGGCAAAGGCUGGCUUCUCUGCCCAGCCUUUCAGAAUCUUCCGGCCCGGCCCUGACAGCUCCCUCACAACUGAGGGAGGAAGGCGGCUGCCCCUCCAGCUCCCCAGGGCCCAAGCCAGGCCCUCACACUCGUCACUCACUGCAUGCUCCUCUCCCCAUGAGGCCUCCCCAGGGAACACAAUGGAAAGAAAUGACCUAUUUUCUGGAAGUCCAAAAUAAGAUGAAACAUCUGUCUGGAAUGGGGCCAGGCUGAUAAAGAACGGGCUGAUCUCCCCAGCCCGAGCCCCGCUCUCCUGCAGCAAACACCCCCUCACCCGUCAGAGUGCCUGUGCUUGGGGGUGGGGGCAGCGAUGCGGCUGGCUACUUGGAACAGUGCGUGGGAAAGCGCUCAGUGUGUGCCUCACGGCUGCUGGGGGCCCAAGGGAGGGGGCCUGGGUCCCCAGGAAGGCUGGGAAGCAGCCUGAGAAGGAGGUCAGUGAGGGAGGGAGGCCUGCUGCACACCCCUGCCCACCGGCUGCAGAGCAAGCACUUCCUGCCUCCUGCGGUGCCUUGAGGGUUACCCCCAGGGCCCUGUGGAUUCCUGGCCCUGAGUCCCCCCACCCACCCCGGCCCCAUCUGGGCCUCCAACAGCCUUAAAAAUAACAAUAAUAAUAAUAGCUACCUCUGAUUUAGUACAGUUGACCCUUGAACUACACAGGUUUGAACUGUGCAGGUCCACUAACACGUGAAUGUUCCACACAUGUGAAACAUCCACCUCCUUCCCACCCUUCCACUCCUCCACCUCUUCCGCCUCUGCCACCCCUGAAAGCAAGGCCAACCCUUCCUCUUCCUCCUCCUUCCCAGUCUACUUAACGUGCAGACAAGGGUGAAGACUUUUUCAGUGAUCUACUUCCACUUAAUAUAAACUGAAUGUAUUUUCUCUUCCUUGUGAUUUUCUUUCAUCUAGCUUACUUUAUUGUAAGAACAUAGUAUAUAAUAUACAUAACAGACAAAAUAUGUGUUAAUUGACUUUACAUUAUCAGUAAGGCCCACAGUAGGCUGGCUAUUAGCAGUUAAGUUUUUGGGGAGUCAAAAGCUAUACAUGAAUUUUCAACUUUGCAGUUGGUGGCUGUCCCCAGCCCCCUCAUUGUUCAAGGGUCUGCUGUACUUAUCACCCACUAUCUAUGCUAAGCUCCUUAUAUGAAUGAUCUCACCAAGUCCUCAGAACAAUCCCAUGACAUCAGUACUGCUUCCUCAUUUUACAGAUGUGGAAACUGAGGCACAGACUGUUUACAUUGUUUGCCCAAAAGCUUGCCAGUGGUGUCUCCAGUGUUUAAUACUGGGCAGACAGGCUCCAGAGCACACAGCCCAAUGCCCAUGAGACAGCCCCUCUGUGGCAGGAGGCAAAGAUAAGGAGCCCCGCAAAAAGGACAGCCCAGUACCUGGCACAGAACAAGCUCAAAUAAAAAAAAAUAAAAGUUAAUUAGCCAGGCGUGGUGGAGGGAGCCUGUAAUCCCAGCUUCUCGGGAGGCUGAGUCAGGAGAAUUGCUUGAACCCGAGAUCGCGCCACUGCACUCCAGCCUGGGCAACAAGAGUGAAACUCCGUCUCAAAAAAAUAAAUUAAAAAAUAAAGUCGUC
RNAcentral lists this long non-coding RNA (2039 nucleotides) under Homo sapiens (human). RNAcentral's name for it is "HSALNT0330219". The record is from RNAcentral. Lineage: Eukaryota; Metazoa; Chordata; Mammalia; Primates; Hominidae.